UUACUUUUAAUAGAGUUUUUCAUUGACCAUAAAUAGUUUUUUGUUAAUUCAUUUUUUUCUAAUGCCACUAAAAAAACGCAAAAAACCUAUCUUUAUGUUAAAAAGAAACCGACAGUAAAUCCCUAUAUAAUUGCUCACUCUCACUCCUCAGCAUUCUUCACUACCAAUACUCUCUCUCUCUCUUUAUCUUUCUUUUUGUGUGUGUAUAUUAAAGAUGAGAAGAGGAGCAAUAACAAUGCGGUUGUUGUUGGUUAUUAGUGUUGUUGUUGUUGUUGUUGGUGUUAUCCAAUUCCAAUGUGCAAGUGCAGAAAGUGUGAGUUUGGAGACUGGUGGGCUGAGCAGAGACAAGUUUCCGAAGGGCUUUGUGUUCGGAACGGCGACGUCUGCAUAUCAAGUGGAAGGCAUGGCCCACAAGGAUGGUCGUGGGCCAAGCAUUUGGGAUGAAUUCGUUAAAAUUCCCGGGGUUGUUGCAAACAAUGCUACUGGAGAAGUUUCUGUGGACCAGUAUCACCACUACAAAGAAGAUAUUGAAAUAAUGGAAAAGCUCAACUUUGAUGCAUACCGGUUCUCAAUUUCAUGGUCCAGAAUUUUCCCAGAUGGAACCGGUAAAGUGAAUCAGAAGGGUGUGGCAUACUACAAUAGGUUGAUCAACUACAUGCUAAAAAAAGGCAUUACUCCAUAUGCAAACCUAUACCAUUAUGAUCUUCCCCUAGCACUUGAGAAGAAGUACCUGGGAUUAUUAAGUGACCAAGUGGUGAAAGACUUUGCCGAUUAUGCAGACUUCUGUUUCAAGACAUUUGGAGACAGAGUGAAGAAUUGGAUGACAUUUAAUGAACCUAGGGUAGUGGCUGCUCUUGGUUAUGAUAAUGGGAUCUUUGCUCCUGGAAGGUGCUCCAAGGCAUUUGGAAAUUGUACAGCUGGAAAUUCUGCAACUGAGCCAUAUAUUGUUGCCCAUCAUUUGAUUUUAGCUCAUGCAGCUGCAGUGCAAAGAUAUCGUGAAAAGUAUCAAGAAAAACAAAAAGGAAGGAUUGGAAUUCUCUUGGAUUUUGUUUGGUAUGAACCUCUUACAAGAUCAAAAGCUGAUAACUAUGCAGCUCAAAGAGCAAGAGACUUCCAUGUUGGAUGGUUUAUUCAUCCCAUCGUAUAUGGUGAGUAUCCAAGAACAAUGCAAGAUAUUGUUGGGGAUAGACUACCCAAGUUCACAAAAGAGGAGGUUAAGAUGGUGAAAGGUUCAAUGGAUUUUGUGGGCAUCAAUCAAUAUACUGCUUUCUAUAUGUAUGAUCCACAUCAACCAAAAUCAAAAGAUUUGGGCUACCAGCAGGAAUGGAAUGUUGGAUUUGCUUAUGAAAAGAAUGGAGUGCCUAUUGGUCCAAGGGCAAAUUCUAAUUGGCUCUACAUUGUACCAUGGGGUUUAUACAAAGCCAUAACAUAUAUAAAAGAACGUUAUGGAAACCCUACUGUGAUUUUAUCUGAAAAUGGCAUGGAUGACCCUGGAAAUGUCACAAUUUCUAAGGGAUUGCACGACACUACGAGAAUCAACUACUAUAGAGCCUAUUUGACUCAAUUGAAGAAGGCAGUUGAUGAAGGAGCAAAUGUUAUUGGUUACUUUGCAUGGUCAUUGCUUGACAACUUUGAAUGGAGAUCAGGUUACACUUCAAGGUUUGGAAUUGUCUAUAUUGAUUACACCAACCUCAAGAGGUAUCCAAAGAUGUCUGCCUAUUGGUUCCAGCGUCUACUUCAGAGAAACAAGCAUUAAGCAGUCAGCUAUGUUCUUGUUAAUAAGAAAUGGUGUUAUUCUGUAAAACUAUAACUAAUAUCAAGGUACUAAGCUUCCUACCUGGUGCUUUGAUUCUUCCCUUCUAUUUUCUUCUACAUUAAUAAUGUUUUUUUUUUUUUAAUUGUAUUAAUAUGAAAAGAACCAUGAAAUUUCAAGAAUUUCUUUUGAUGACU
Molecule: RNA transcript, 1950 nt
Organism: Quercus robur (English oak)
Lineage: Eukaryota; Viridiplantae; Streptophyta; Magnoliopsida; Fagales; Fagaceae
Gene name: beta-glucosidase 44-like
Exons: 12
Source: RefSeq, a predicted model, not a curated record